ACAUCACGGAUAUCCUGGACCAGCUAG
Molecule: small RNA, 27 nt
Filed under: Bombyx mori (domestic silkworm)
Lineage: Eukaryota; Metazoa; Arthropoda; Insecta; Lepidoptera; Bombycidae
Description: ovarian small RNA-11143
Source: RNAcentral